Molecule: ribosomal RNA, 458 nt
Filed under: uncultured bacterium
Lineage: Bacteria
Description: bacterial SSU rRNA
Rfam family: Bacterial small subunit ribosomal RNA
Source: RNAcentral
AUACGGGAGGCAGCAGUAAGGAAUAUUGGUCAAUGGACGCAAGUCUGAACCAGCCAUGCCGCGUGGAGGAUGAAGGUCCUCUGGAUUGUAAACUUCUUUUAUUUGGGACGAAAAAAGGGAAUUCUUUCUCACUUGACGGUACCAGAUGAAUAAGCACCGGCUAACUCCGUGCCAGCAGCCGCGGUAAUACGGAGGGUGCAAGCGUUAUCCGGAUUCACUGGGUUUAAAGGGUGCGUAGGCGGGUAUGUAAGUCAGCGGUGAAAUCCCCGAGCUUAACUUGGGAACUGCCGUUGAUACUAUAUAUCUUGAAUGUCGUGGAGGUUAGCGGAAUAUGUCAUGUAGCGGUGAAAUGCUUAGAUAUGACAUAGAACACCCAUUGCGAAGGCAGCUAACUACGCGAAUAUUGACGCUGAGGCACGAAAGCGUGGGGAUCAAACAGGAUUAGAUACCCUGGUAGU